This 125-nucleotide small RNA is filed under the name Marmota monax (woodchuck). The record is from RNAcentral. Lineage: Eukaryota; Metazoa; Chordata; Mammalia; Rodentia; Sciuridae.
GCCAGGUGCAGUGGCGCAUGCCUGUUAUCCCAGCAGCUGGGGAGGCGGAGACAGGAGGAUCACAAGUUCAAAGUCAGCCUCAGCAACAGCAAAGCACCAAGUGACUCAGUGAGACCCUGUCUCUA